UACGGAGGGUGCGAGCGUUGUCCGGAAUCACUGGGCGUAAAGGGCGCGUAGGCGGCCUGAUAAGUAGGGGGUGAAAUCCUGCGGCUUAACCGCAGGGCUGCCUUCUAAACUGUCAGGCUCGAGCACAGUAGAGGCAGGUGGAAUUCCCGGUGUAGCGGUGGAAUGCGUAGAGAUCGGGAAGAACAUCAGCGGCGAAGGCGGCCUGCUGGGCUGUUGCUGACGCUGAGGCGCGACAGCGUGGGGAGCAAACAGG
This 253-nucleotide ribosomal RNA is filed under the name uncultured bacterium. Its description in RNAcentral is "partial 16S ribosomal RNA". It matches the Rfam family "Bacterial small subunit ribosomal RNA", at positions 524 to 776 of the family's 1533-position model. The record is from RNAcentral.